RNAcentral lists this ribosomal RNA (253 nucleotides) under uncultured bacterium. RNAcentral's name for it is "partial 16S ribosomal RNA". It matches the Rfam family "Bacterial small subunit ribosomal RNA", at positions 524 to 776 of the family's 1533-position model. The record is from RNAcentral.
UACGGAGGGGGCUAGCGUUGUUCGGAAUUACUGGGCGUAAAGCGCGCGUAGGCGGCUUUGUAAGUUAGAGGUGAAAGCCCGGAGCUCAACUCCGGAACUGCCUUUAAGACUGCAUCGCUAGAAUUGUGGAGAGGUGAGUGGAAUUCCGAGUGUAGAGGUGAAAUUCGUAGAUAUUCGGAAGAACACCAGUGGCGAAGGCGACUCACUGGACACAUAUUGACGCUGAGGCGCGAAAGCGUGGGGAGCAAACAGG